This 451-nucleotide ribosomal RNA is filed under the name uncultured bacterium. RNAcentral's name for it is "SSU rRNA". It matches the Rfam family "Bacterial small subunit ribosomal RNA", at positions 26 to 518 of the family's 1533-position model. The record is from RNAcentral.
AGGAUAAACGCUGGCGGCGUGCCUAACACAUGCAAGUCGAACGUCCUACGCAAGUAGGGAGUGGCGGACGGGUGAGUAACACGUGGGCAAUCUACCUUUCGGUGAGGAAUACCGGCGAGAAAUCGCCGACAAUACCGCAUACGCUUCGCAAGAAGCAAAGUCGCAAGACGCCGGAGGAGGAGCCUGCGCCCGAUUAGCUGGUUGGUGAGGUAAGAGCUCACCAAGGCGACGAUCGGUAGCUGGUCUGAGAGGAUGAUCAGCCACACUGGGACUGAGACACGGCCCAGACUCCUACGGGAGGCAGCAGUGGGGAAUCUUGCGCAAUGGGCGAAAGCCUGACGCAGCAACGCCGCGUGGGGGAUGAAUGCCUUCGGGUUGUAAACCCUUUCAGUGGGAACGAAAUUGACGGUACCACAGAAGAAGCCCCGGCCAACUACGUGCCAGCAGCCGC